This 997-nucleotide long non-coding RNA is filed under the name Felis catus (domestic cat). RNAcentral describes it as "lncRNA (ENSFCAG00000052805.1)". Lineage: Eukaryota; Metazoa; Chordata; Mammalia; Carnivora; Felidae. The record is from RNAcentral.
CCUCUCUCUCUCUCUCUCUGUCUCUGUCUCUCUCUCUCUCUCUCUUUAUCUAUCUAUCUAUCUAUCUAUCUAUCUAUCUAUCUAUCUAUCUAUCUAUCUUCAAUAAACUCUUUCACCUUUCUGGCUAAUGUUUGGUUUUCAUACCAUGCGAAGCCAAGGACCCUCUUGGCUAGUCCUGUAGAAUCCCUUCUCUGGGUUUUCAGAUGUCUGCCAGUAUCAGUUCUUCCCCUCUAAAUUUUAGAAAAAGGGUCUUUAGGUGUUGGAAACUUCAGCCUUCACAGAAAAGAGGUUGAAUCAUAGUAGGCAGAACUAGGGUGGAAAGGUCUAGUAUUACAGUAUGCUAAUUCUUGUUUCCCCACCUAAAACUAGGCUGUAGACUGGAAUGUCACAUGUUAUAUCCUGAAUCCUAGCAAUUUCUCUUCUUCUCUCUCUAGUUGUAUGCUUUGCUCCCAGUUCUGGAAGCUGUUCACUUGCACAUACUUCCAAAGUGUAAAACAAACAUAUUUUGUUUUGUUUUGUUUUUUUCUCAGUGCUCUUCCAGAAAGAUCUCUCCAUAUUUGGCUAAACAGAAGUGAAGACUUGUGGAUCCUAAAAAUAUAUCCAAUAUUUAUGUGUGUACUUUCACCCCAAGUAUCCCCUUCCAUUCUCAGCCCAACGUCUCCUGUUUUCAAUUUUACUGAAAAGGUCCUCCUCACUGUGGCAUUGCAAGAUAUGCUUCUGUUGUCUUCAAAUCCUUAAAUUCACAUAUGUUGAGAAUUCAGGCAGACCUUCUAAACAGCAUUUGGGUUCAAUAUUAAGCAUUACUUUCUAACUACAAUGUGCCUUCUCCUCAAAGUUCCCUAAAACCUUGAAAAAUCAGUUUGAGAACUUUUGAGUCUCUUAACCUCAUUUUUCUAUGAUUCCCCAGUAAAGAAAAUUGCACUAAGUUGCUGAUGUGCCACUUUAAAUACUUAUAUAAAUCUCAGUCACUAAUUUAAGGACAAUAGUUUAAAGAAGA